GACGAACGCUGGCGGCGUGCCUAAUACAUGCAAGUUGAGCGCUGAAGGUUGGUACUUGUACCAACUGGAUGAGCAGCGAACGGGUGAGUAACGCGUGGGGAAUCUGCCUUUGAGCGGGGGACAACAUUUGGAAACGAAUGCUAAUACCGCAUAAAAACUUUAAACACAAGCUUUAAGUUUGAAAGAUGCAAUUGCAUCACUCAAAGAUGAUCCCGCGUUGUAUUAGCUAGUUGGUGAGGUAAAGGCCCACCAAGGCGAUGAUACAUAGCCGACCUGAGAGGGUGAUCGGCCACAUUGGGACUGAGACACGGCCCAAACUCCUACGGGAGGCAGCAGUAGGGAAUCUUCGGCAAUGGACGAAAGUCUGACCGAGCAACGCCGCGUGAGUGAAGAAGGUUUUCGGAUCGUAAAACUCUGUUGGUAGAGAAGAACGUUGGUGAGAGUGGAAAGCUCAUCAAGUGACGGUAACUACCCAGAAAGGGACGGCUAACUACGUG
Molecule: ribosomal RNA, 497 nt
Filed under: uncultured bacterium
Lineage: Bacteria
Description: partial 16S ribosomal RNA
Rfam family: Bacterial small subunit ribosomal RNA
Source: RNAcentral